GAUGAACGCUGGCGGCGUGCCUAAUACAUGCGAGUCGAGCGAACGGACGAGAAGCUUGCUUCUCUGAUGUUAGCGGCGGACGGGUGAGUAACACGUGGAUAACCUACCUAUAAGACUGGGAUAACUUCGGGAAACCGGAGCUAAUACCGGAUAAUAUUUUGAACCGCAUGAUUCAAAAGUGAAAGACGGUUUUGCUGUCACUUAUAGAUGGAUCCGCGCUGCAUUAGCUAGUUGGUAAGGUAACGGCUUACCAAGGCAACGAUGCAUAGCCGACCUGAGAGGGUGAUCGGCCACACUGGAACUGAGACACGGUCCAGACUCCUACGGGAGGCAGCAGUAGGGAAUCUUCCGCAAUGGGCGAAAGCCUGACGGAGCAACGCCGCGUGAGUGAUGAAGGUCUUCGGAUCGUAAAACUCUGUUAUUAGGGAAGAACAUAUGUGUAAGUAACUGUGCACAUCUUGACGGUACCUAAUCAGAAAGCCACGGCUAACUACGUG
This 497-nucleotide ribosomal RNA is filed under the name uncultured bacterium. RNAcentral's name for it is "partial 16S ribosomal RNA". It matches the Rfam family "Bacterial small subunit ribosomal RNA", at positions 28 to 507 of the family's 1533-position model. The record is from RNAcentral.